CGAAAAUUCUCUUAAGAAGACUUGCUUGGCUAGCGGUUUAAUCACCAAGUUGCCCCAAAGCAACCUCGCACAAACCAAAUCAUCCCAUUUCCCGCAUGAUAGAAAAAUACAGUCUUGACUCUUGCGAUAGUGUUUCUGUGUUCUACAUAAUUGUAUCCGUCUAUCUCGCGAACAUGUCUGACUUGGCCAAGGAGCAUUUUGUGGCAACAGUCAUUGAAGAUCAUGAGGCAGCAUGCUGGGGUUGUGGACUACACCUUCUUCUUCCAUCUUAUUCACCUAUUUUUAAAUGUGGCUGGUGUGGAGCAAUAACAACUCAAAAUGAAGGAAAACGUGAGAACAAGUUUCUUUGGUGGAGACUUGUGCGUGACCGGUGCUUCGUAUGUGUCCUCCUCGGCUACAUGCUUUUUGUAAUAUGUGGUGGUGUGUGGGCAGUGUACCCUGUUGUUUUCUCCAUCAGCUAUUUCUGUGGAAUUUUCCACCUCAGCAUAACUUUGAUCUUGUCUAUAGUUACUAUUUCAAUGUUUAGUCUUGCGGCCUUUAGAUGUCCUGGAACACCACCUAUCAUACAGUGGGGUAGCUACCCAGUUGUGGGAAAAGGUUACCUUGAGAAUUACACCUUCUGUCACUAUUGUUCAAAGCCAAAAUCGCCUAGAACCCAUCACUGCCGUUCAUGUGGAAUGUGUAUAUUGGACAUGGAUCAUCACUGCCCUUUUAUUGGAAAUUGCGUGGGUGCAGCAAAUCACCGGUACUUUAUCGCCUUCCUUAUCUCAGCUGUUGUCAGCACAAUAUAUGUUUCAAUCAUGUCCUCAUUUGCAGUGUGGUGUAUAUGGCCACCAUUACCAACCAGAUCUCUAGUCUAUUUAAGUGGGACGCACAGUUAUUUGGCUUGGAGAAUAUUGAAGGAACUUAUUUUUGCAUCGCUAAGCUCUGCACUACUUCUUUCCUCAAGGGGGCUUGUUCUUGUUUAUUUGUUUUUUUCUAGUGUUUCAGUGGAGAUAGGAUUAACCGUGCUUCUGUUGCAGCAGCUUUGUUACAUAUACAAGGGGAAAACUUAUUUAAGCCACUUGAAUUCUCAAGGAGGUGAUGAGGUUGGAGAAAAAGAUUGCAAAAAUCUUUUACGUUUCUUUGGUUGCCCAUAUUCUGUGUCAAGAUACUUGCCUAAUGUUUGGAAUUCUCCUAAGAGACACAAUAAGUGAAUGACUGUUUAAAGAAUAUCAUCUUUGCUUUUACUUGAUAAUUUAGUCUAAGGCUCUUUUUACCUGUUAAAAGUGUUUCUAAAUUAAUCUCCUGUGUCAUGGGAAACCUCUGCCGCAAAGUUGGUGUCAUGACUGACGACAUUGCUGCAACUGAAUUGUGGUGCAUAGCCAUUUUUGUAUGAUCAAAGUGUAGGAAAAAAGACGGGGAAGUUCAACUGAACUGUAGUGCAUGCUUAUUGUUGGUCUCACCAGUUUCCUGAUCUCGGUGGAAAACAGAACCAUUGGGUUGAAACGAGGGAUUCAAAACAUGUAGGAGCCGUUGAAAUGCUUAAAAGCUUGGCCCCUGUCUCUCCCUCUCUUUUAUUUAUUUAUUUAUUUGUAUGAAGAUGUACUUUAAUUUGUUUUUAUUUUACUUAUUUCAAUACAACUUCUAAAAUAAAACUUAAUAAUAGAGAAUGAAAAAGAGAUAUUGCAUAAUUUAUAAGAAAUUGUGUAGUUUAUGCUUG
This 1702-nucleotide unclassified non-coding RNA is filed under the name Hevea brasiliensis (rubber tree). The record is from RNAcentral. Lineage: Eukaryota; Viridiplantae; Streptophyta; Magnoliopsida; Malpighiales; Euphorbiaceae.